GCCCGAGUGGCGGAAUUGGUAGACGCGCUGGAUUCAAAAUCCAGUGAUAGCAAUAUCGUGCCGGUUCGACCCCGGCCUCGGGUACAA
Molecule: transfer RNA, 87 nt
Filed under: Flavobacteriales bacterium
Lineage: Bacteria; Pseudomonadati; Bacteroidota; Flavobacteriia; Flavobacteriales
Description: tRNA-Leu
Rfam family: tRNA
About the family: Transfer RNA (tRNA) molecules are approximately 80 nucleotides in length.
Source: RNAcentral